RNAcentral lists this ribosomal RNA (426 nucleotides) under uncultured bacterium. RNAcentral's name for it is "bacterial SSU rRNA". It matches the Rfam family "Bacterial small subunit ribosomal RNA", at positions 354 to 796 of the family's 1533-position model. The record is from RNAcentral.
GUGAGGAAUUUUCCGCAAUGGGCGAAAGCCUGACGGAGCAAUGCCGCGUGAAGGAUGAAGGCCUAUGGGUUGUAAACUUCUUUUCUCAGAAAAGAAUUAUGACGGUAUCUGAGGAAUAAGCAUCGGCUAACUCUGUGCCAGCAGCCGCGGUAAGACAGAGGAUGCAAGCGUUAUCCGGAAUGAUUGGGCGUAAAGCGUCUGUAGGUUGUUUAAAAAGUAUUCUGUCAAAGAUUAGGGCUUAACCCUAGAUAGGCAGAAUAAACUUUUAAGCUAGAGUUUGGUAGAGGCAGAGGGAAUUCCCGGUGAAGCGGUGAAAUGCGUAGAUAUCGGGAGGAACACCAAAGGCGAAGGCACUCUGCUGGGCCAAUACUAACACUGAGAGACGAAAGCGAGGGGAGCAAAUGGGAUUAGAUACCCUGGUAGUCC